RNAcentral lists this unclassified non-coding RNA (164 nucleotides) under uncultured Xylariales. Its description in RNAcentral is "sequence contains ITS1". Lineage: Eukaryota; Fungi; Ascomycota; Sordariomycetes; Xylariales. The record is from RNAcentral.
UAGAGUUUUAUAACUCCCAACCCUUUGUGAACUUACCUUUGUUGCCUCGGCGGGGCCUACCCGGUACCGACCCCUUUGGGGCGAAGUUACCCUGUAGCCCGCCGGUGGAUUUUCAAACUCUUGUUAUUUUAAUGUUAUCUGAGUAAAACAUUCUAAAUGAAUCA